RNAcentral lists this long non-coding RNA (2220 nucleotides) under Salvia miltiorrhiza (redroot sage). RNAcentral's name for it is "long non-coding RNA (SMIL_LNC001093)". The record is from RNAcentral. Lineage: Eukaryota; Viridiplantae; Streptophyta; Magnoliopsida; Lamiales; Lamiaceae.
CUCAUCACUUUAUUACUAUCUCGCAAAUUUUGCGUCAUUUAUACAACACUCAACUGAGGUAAUUUUUUAUAUCACUUAAACGAAAGAAACAUAUUCAUUAUUAAAAAAAAACAAGUGUAAAUGUUAAUUUGAAAAAUAAUAUAAUGUUCAAAAAUCUAACAUCAAAUAUCAGAAUCUAAAUUUAUCUAGCCAUGAAAGAAUGUAGAUGUCGUAAGUGAUGACAUUCAACACUGUUAUGUCUUUCCCUUGCUCUUCCUUGUUGCAUUCUUCUCUUUUCCUACAUAAAUUCAACAAAAUAAAUUAUACUAUUCCAUACCUAUACUAAGUAAAUUAAUUAAAAAAGUAUUUGAAACUAUGAAUCAAGAGAUAUAAUUUCAUUUUCCGAAAAUACGAGCAAAUAUUAUUUAAUAAAAAUCACGAAAGAAUGUCUAAGUCUAUAAUCUCAACUCGUUGAUGUUGAACAUUCAACAUUCUGCUGAUGUUCAAAACUAUUAAAUGGGAUAUUCGAGUAUCAACAAGUUUUCCUAACAUUAUACAACAUAUAAUAUAACUUUGUGAAUGUCAAUCACUCCACCUAAAACUCAAACAAGUGAAGUACUAAAACCUGAAAGGAAAUUAACAAUCGCCACAGAUCUUCAUCAUAGGAAAAUUGAGAUAAUUUAAAAUCUAAUGUUAGGGCUUAAAAGUAACCAUGGUUUUCAACUAGAAAUUUGGCUCCAAAGCUAUAGGGUUAAUCUCAGAAUGAUCUACUAGGAUCAUCCAGUAACUAAUAAUUUAAACAUUGUAUUUUGACUCCAAAGUCCUAUUGUUUGACUACGCUAAAAAACAUUUAUUGUGUGACAUACCAUGUUUGAAAGGACUCUCCAUCCCUUCGUUCCCAAAAGACAUAUUCCUAGAAAAGAACAAUAAAAACAUUUUCACAUAAAGCAACAGGGAAGGGGCAGGAUGAGGAAUUGGUUAAAAGGGGAUAUGAAGUUCUGAAAUCACACAAGAAUUAAUUUAAGAGCGUCAAAGAAGCACAAACAUAAUAUAUUUGGUUUCUCUUCUUUCUUUUGUGAGUUGAGAUAUUCCUCAUCUGACAAGCUUUUCCCUGCAACAGAAUAUAAAGAGAACAUACUUAAUAUUCUUCUUUAUAAUUUGGGUAACAUAAAUAAAGGAACACAAAAAUAGAUUUUUAGCCAAUCAAUUUUGUUUGCAUGUAGCUUCAGCAUCUCCAAUUGUUGAAAACUACAACAUACAACCAUUUGCAGAGUAUGGUUGUAUGAGUAAACAUAGAAACUCAUGUAAGGAAACAACUCAUAGCAAUAACAUAUGGAACUUUUAUGUUUGUAACCUAUUUACACUUUAUAGAAUAUGCCCAUAUGCCAGCAUUAGCCACCACAUUUAACUAUGUGAAUAAAGUAUCAGCAAGUGUGCUCUAUGUUUCCGCAAAUUCAAUUUUUGAUUUUGGAAUACAUUUUGACAAUGAUUUUUCUUGUUAAGAAAUAUGGAUAUUAAUGUAAGUAUACAAGAAGUCUAAAUUUUCACAUAAAGUUGGUUUCAAGAUUCAUAAUAAUUAACUAAUCUUGCACCAAACUUUCACUUAACAAAAAAAUUAAAAUAGUGGAGCAAAACCCACCGGUCGUGAACAAGAAAUAGUAGUUGGGAGAACAGUGUCGGUGCUGGUUACAUGAUCAGCAAAAAAGAAUCAAUAAAUUCAAUUCCAUAAAUUAAGCAAACUAACAGUAACAAUCAAUUUCCUAAAUGAUUCACACAAAAAAAAAAAUAAACACAUACACAGAAAAUUCAAGAUAGCCGCUUUCUACACACAUGUUGCUGGUUAAAGUAGAAGUCAGCGAGCAACAUAAUAAACUCACUGCGUGAAGGUGGCGACGGCGCGAGUCAGCCAGGGACAUGUGUAGGGCGACGAAGGUGCAAAGAGCGGCGCUGCUAUCGGCGACAAAGGUGCAAAGAGCGUUGCUGCUAGCGGCGACGUAAUGAAAUGCAAUCGGACGCGUUGUGGUUGAUGAACGAGAGAAUCUGAAAGGAGAGGAGUGAAAGAGAGGGUGGUGACAUCGCUGAGGUUAGGGAGAGUCGAGGGUUUUGAAUGGAGAAGAGGAUUUUUGGGUUUAGGUUUGGGAAUGUAAGUUUUUUUUUUCGAAUUGUAAUGUAAAUUUGCUGCGUUUUUGUUCUAUAAGUGUAAUUAUUGGUAUUUUUUUUCACUCCUAAUCUAAUUUUUUU